AGAUAUGUUUGAUUUUCUUGGUCG
RNAcentral lists this microRNA (24 nucleotides) under Dinoponera quadriceps. RNAcentral describes it as "dqu-miR-190-5p". Its record names the gene dqu-miR-190-5p. Lineage: Eukaryota; Metazoa; Arthropoda; Insecta; Hymenoptera; Formicidae. The record is from miRBase by way of RNAcentral.